CUGAAGUGCAUGGAAGAAAGUUGUUUCAAAUACCAUCAUUGCCAGUAUUCCUACUUAGUCUCCAGAAGUGAGGGGUAGGUUGCCCUUUGAAUCAGCUGAUGUUUUUUGUCUUUGGACUGAGAAAACAAAGAAGUUUCUCUUCUGCCUCUGUAUUGGAUGAGCUUCAUGGCUGAAGCUUGUACUACAGAGAUGCCUACAAAGUGCUGUA
Lonchura striata (white-rumped munia) is the source of this 208-nucleotide non-coding RNA. The record is from RefSeq and is a predicted model, not a curated record. Lineage: Eukaryota; Metazoa; Chordata; Aves; Passeriformes; Estrildidae.